UUCCAGUUUAAUUUUAUUUUCAAGACGGAAUGUUUUAGCUUUUUGAGUUUUUCCCAAAUAAAUUAAUUCUAGACAUGUGUAGGAGCAGUUUAAUGUUUUAUGCAUACAAGGGAUUGAAGGGAUUGAAUACUUCAUCACAAUUCAUAGUGGUUCUCCAAAUUACAUUUUAUUAAGAAAAGUUCUUUUAUUAAGAAAAGGUUACACAUAGACAAGUUCAUAUAACAAGUGUGGGGGUGUUGCAGAAUCUUGUCCGCAGCUGAUGGCCCCAUCUGCUCCUCUGUAGGACCGUCCCGUAGGAUGUUGCUGCGUCUCCAGUGGUGCGUCAAGGAGAGGCGGCCAGGAGCGUGGUAUCAUGGGCUCAUGUCCAUGUCCAGCGCUGAGGCUAGCAGAGAAGCAAAAGCACUAACAGGCGAACCCCUGUGUGUUGUGCCACCCCCCUCCUGGGCCCAUCGUGUCACCAGCCCCACUGUGAUGUGGCCGGGACAUCAGUGGGGCUGGUGCCAGCGGCACAAUAUGGGAAGAUUGGGAGUUGACCUUCCUCAGCAUGUGGCCAUGGAGUCCAGGGAUCUCUCCUGUCGAAUGUUGACGUGUCAUGGGCUCGUGUUCGUGUCCAGCGCUGAGGCUAGCAGAGAAACAAAUAUGGGCAACAAGACAUUAGUGGGGUUGGUGCCUGUGGCACAAUAUGGGAAGGGACGGGGUGUUGACCUUCCUUAGCAAGUGGCCAUGGAGUCCAGGGAUCUCUCCCGUCGAAUGUUUCCGUGUCAUGGGCUCACAUCCUUGUCCAGCGCUGAGGCUAGGCAACAAGAGAACCGCCAUGUGUAAUACCAGGCCUCUCCUGGGCCCACCAUGUCACCAGCCCCACUGUGAUGUGGCCAUGGCAUCAGUGGGGCUGGUGCCAGCAGCACAAU
This 908-nucleotide long non-coding RNA is filed under the name Anas platyrhynchos platyrhynchos (common mallard). RNAcentral's name for it is "lncRNA (ENSAPLG00000023502.1)". The record is from RNAcentral. Lineage: Eukaryota; Metazoa; Chordata; Aves; Anseriformes; Anatidae.